Molecule: long non-coding RNA, 539 nt
Filed under: Phasianus colchicus (ring-necked pheasant)
Lineage: Eukaryota; Metazoa; Chordata; Aves; Galliformes; Phasianidae
Description: lncRNA (ENSPCLG00000018479.1)
Source: RNAcentral
GUCCUGUCUUUUCAAAAGGAAAAGCAUUUGUGUUGUGUAUGGGAAUUGCUAAGUCAUGGCCUGAAACAAUGAUUGAGCACCUGGUGAAAGGACAGCCAGCUCUGGGAGCACAGGUGGAAGCAAUACCUCUUCCUAAGCCUGAUUUAAGAGCCAGCUGCCACACAGAAGGAUUUCUGUCUAGAGAGCCUUGCUUUUGGAGUCUUGAUUCUUGGGAUGGUGCUUCCCAUCUGCUGCAUGGCUGUGAAUAACAGCGAUGGGGAGAGCCAGAGGAGUGCUUUGCUAGCUGGCUGAGCAGGAAACCUUGGAGUGUGCGUUAUGGAGAGAGGCUGUUGUGCAACCAGAGCCUUUUCUGCCCUCUGUGCCCGAGCUCAGACAGCUGGGGUAGGGAGCUCUGAUGGAUCUACUAAAGGCAUUCUGAGGAAGUUCUUGGUUAUUAAUUCUUCCUCUGGAUUCCCUUGGGUCUGGCUUGGAGCACAAAGUCUGUGACAUGUGGAUAGGCUGGGAAUAAAUGAUACGUCAGUAAAAAGAAUUGCUACUGC